Molecule: non-coding RNA, 462 nt
Organism: Paramuricea clavata
Lineage: Eukaryota; Metazoa; Cnidaria; Anthozoa; Malacalcyonacea; Plexauridae
Source: the annotation of a GenBank genome assembly
GUCAGACAUGGCAAUGUUUAUCAUGCAGUGCACAUGUUCUCAUCAGUGAAGUCAUGCUUUCGCCUUUCGCAUCCAAGAGGCCAUACUAAUUAAAAUAUUUCACAUGUAAUGAGGCAUGGCAGGAUUUCUAUUAGUGACGUUAUACAGAUCGAUAUCUCAUGCAAUCAAGCAUGACAGGAUAAGCGACAAUUGAAAAUAUUUACAAAAAUAUAUUUAUGGUAAAUUGAGCUACAACCCGGCCUUUGUAGUAUGAUAAUAACAUUAAUCCUGUUUCAACAGUCAUAAUUUAAAGCUUACAUAAGUCAAACACUGCUGACGUUAGACAAAAGAAUCACAGGCUAAUCAAAACGCAAUAUCUUCCCUAUUUCUUCGAACGAUUUUACUGGCUUAGUGUAGUGAAAAGAAGCUUUAAUUAAAAAGGGUCAAAUUUCAGCCAUGGUAUCAUGAUAUCUACAUGUCGAU